UAACAGGGUGUUAGUGCUCUUGUCAAUAUAUAUAGCUCUAUGGUAAUUACCAAUAGUGUCCACUGCCUUUAAGGGGUCAUCUUUUAAAGGAAGGGUACACAAUUUUGUUUUGAUACAAAAUGCCAACCUGCGUUAAGGCAUUUAUCCAAAUUAAACUACUCCUUUAAAUACAAACUCAACAAGCAUGUUGACAAGAGGCAGCAGAACCACCCGUGACAGCAAGUAAUAUUUUGUUUCCAAAGGAAAUAUGGAAAUCCGGAGUAAACUUGAUUUAUAUGUGCAUUAGUAAUACACAUCCGAUUAUUUUAGUGAAUUUAUUCACCUGAUUUGUGGCUUGCUGGUCAACUUAAAGGGACUGUCUUGGUCUAUAUAAGGCGCAUGAAUGAUUUUGCCCAGCCAUUUUGCUGUGCAAGAAAAAAUAGACUGAACUUAUUUUGUGACCACUGAACGCCAAUUUGUUGCAGCAAACCAUGGUUAGUGAGUGGCAACUGACACAUUUUGUAUAGCGUUUUACUCUGCUGUACAAGGGAAAAUAGUUUGAUGAGGCAUUUUUAGGAAAUAAUUAUGAUGGAAAAUAUAUUUUACAGUAGCAUUUUACAGAUUUUCACCAAAAAACCACCUCAAAUCAAUUUGCAGUCCCUUAUAAAAUGGCAAGGUAGCGCACAAUCAUUUCAGGUUUAAAAUAAAAAUACAAAUUUAAAAAAAAUAAAUUUGAAUAAUUAAAAAUUACCUUCAUCAUGUUCACCACCAUUGAAUGGCACAUCCAACAAUUUCUAUCUGACCUUGGGGAACAGGCGUUUGUUUCCUUGACAUUUUAAAAACGGCAUUUUUGACAGAUUUAUACCAAAACAAAUUAUGACAAUAUCUGGAUACAAAUAUUGCCAAAGGGCGUUUGAGUCAAAAAUAACGGUUUUGUCAACAUUGAAAAUGGUGUACCUUGUCAGAUUGAGUUAUAUAGCACAAAAAACAGCUGGCGAUUUUUUUAGCAUUGUGACAAAAGGACUUGACAGUUGAGAAAAAACAGUUGUCUUGAUUCAUAAAGAGUAAGAAACAAAAACAGCAUUGGUGUUGCAAACACUAAUUAUUAUACCUUUUCUUUAUUAAAAAAAAAAAAAAUAAAGCAGCAUUUUUUUAUGAAGCACUAAAGCAAGCACAAUAUACUUCUCUUGAUAAUCAAGACUUAGCAAAGUGGAGCAGCAAUAUUUGCGUCAGCAUUAUUUGUUUGUUUUAUAAAAUUAUUUUAAACAAAUCCAAAGCAGCGGUUUUUGUCAACAAUAAAUUCUGUACCUUAUCUUGAUUCAAAAAGGGGAAGCACGACAAAAGCAAUGCGUUUUUCCAUAUAGUAAAUUGCUGUAUUAUGUGUAAGCAUACUAAAGCAGCAGUUUUAUUAAUGUUAGCGUUGUACCGUAUCUUGAUUCAAUUUUGUAAGCAUUACAUUGUUGUACCUUAUCUUGAUUCACAAAAGGGUAAGCGGACUAUAGCAACCUUUGCAGUGUUGAACCCUAUCUUGUUUGGAAAGGUAAGCAUACUGGUGCAGCAGUUUUGUGAAUAAUUAUUACAGUGUGGUACCUUAUCUUGAUUCAUAUAAGGUUAGGCAUACUACAGUACCUGUAGAGCAGCUUUUGCAGUGUUGCACCUUAUCUUGAUUCACAAAAGGUAAGCAUACUGGUGCAGCAGUUUAGUGAAAAUUACUAUUAUCUUGAUUCACAUAAUGUUAAAGCAUACUAGAA
This is a long non-coding RNA of Asterias rubens (European starfish), 1730 nucleotides long. RefSeq lists it as uncharacterized. NCBI's taxonomy places the organism in Eukaryota, Metazoa, Echinodermata, Asteroidea, Forcipulatida, Asteriidae. The record is from RefSeq and is a predicted model, not a curated record. The transcript is spliced from 2 exons.